Molecule: ribosomal RNA, 393 nt
Filed under: uncultured bacterium
Lineage: Bacteria
Description: partial 16S ribosomal RNA
Rfam family: Bacterial small subunit ribosomal RNA
Source: RNAcentral
AUACGGAGGAUGCAAGCGUUAUCCGGAUUUAUUGGGUUUAAAGGGUGCGUAGGCGGGACUGUAAGUCAGGGGUGAAAUACUGCAGCUUAACUGUAGCAUUGCCUUUGUAACUGCCGUUCUUGAGUACAGUUGAGGUAGGCGGAAUGUGGUGUGUAGCGGUGAAAUGCAUAGAUAUACCACAGGACGCCGAUUGCGAAGGCAGCUUACUAAGCUGUUACUGACGCUGAGGCACGAAAGCGUGGGGAUCAAACAGGAUUAGAUACCCUGGUAGUCCACGCUGUAAACGAUGAUUACUGGUUGUUAGCGAUAUAUAGCUAGUGACUGAGCGAAAGCAUUAAGUAAUCCACCUGGGGAGUACGUCGGCAACGAUGAAACUCAAAGGAAUUGACGGGG